AAACUUUCAACAACGGAUCUCUUGGUUCUGGCAUCGAUGAAGAACGCAGCGAAAUGCGAUAAGUAAUGUGAAUUGCAGAAUUCAGUGAAUCAUCGAAUCUUUGAACGCACAUUGCGCCCCUCGGUAUUCCGGGGGGCAUGCCUGUUCGAGCGUCAUAU
RNAcentral lists this ribosomal RNA (158 nucleotides) under Leotiomycetes sp. CBS 259.65. Its description in RNAcentral is "5.8S ribosomal RNA". It matches the Rfam family "5.8S ribosomal RNA". Rfam says of the family: 5.8S ribosomal RNA (5.8S rRNA) is a component of the large subunit of the eukaryotic ribosome. It is transcribed by RNA polymerase I as part of the 45S precursor that also contains 18S and 28S rRNA. Functionally, it is thought that 5.8S rRNA may be involved in ribosome translocation. The record is from RNAcentral. Lineage: Eukaryota; Fungi; Ascomycota; Leotiomycetes.